This 154-nucleotide ribosomal RNA is filed under the name Escherichia coli O55:H7 str. 3256-97. RNAcentral describes it as "partial 23S ribosomal RNA". It matches the Rfam family "Bacterial large subunit ribosomal RNA", at positions 2771 to 2925 of the family's 2925-position model. Lineage: Bacteria; Pseudomonadati; Pseudomonadota; Gammaproteobacteria; Enterobacterales; Enterobacteriaceae. The record is from RNAcentral.
CUGAAAGCAUCUAAGCACGAAACUUGCCCGAGAUGAGUUCUCCUGACCUUUAAGGCUGAAGACGUUGAAGACGACGACGUUGAUAGGCCGGGUGUGUAAGCGCAGCGAUGCGUUGAGCUAACCGGUACUAAUGAACCGUGAGGCUUAACCUUAC